This is a long non-coding RNA of Mauremys mutica (yellowpond turtle), 459 nucleotides long. RefSeq lists it as uncharacterized. The transcript is spliced from 4 exons. Lineage: Eukaryota; Metazoa; Chordata; Testudines; Geoemydidae. The record is from RefSeq and is a predicted model, not a curated record.
CUGGACAGGGUAGAGACAGUACUGCCUUCUGCACAGUCUGACUUCCACUGGUUAGAUUGGAAGAGGAGCUUUGUGUGAAAUUUCCUAGAGUCGACGUGGCUUUAAUGUAAGCAAGUUAUGGAACAGCUGUUUAUCAGGUGAAAAAAUACCAGGUGUAUACCAUUCACAUCUCAAAAAACACCACCACAGUUGGCAGUGCUUGGCACUCUGGAGGCCAGUGACUCACAAGGCAUGGAGAAGGAACUGCCUUCUCAUUGAGGGCGAAGUGGCAAGGAGGCAGGUCUGAGGUUCAACACUUGAGUAAAAGACAGCAGCUCGCUACCCUCUCUGUUUUCGAAGGCAAUCAAACUCUGAUCCACAGAAUUCCUGAUCUUGAAGAUACACACUGGGUAAUAUAAUAAGAUGAACAUUUUUUAAUGGAGAUGAAAAUGAUCUAUCUACUAACAAGACCCAAAGCUG